RNAcentral lists this small RNA (28 nucleotides) under Bombyx mori (domestic silkworm). Its description in RNAcentral is "ovarian small RNA-32602". Lineage: Eukaryota; Metazoa; Arthropoda; Insecta; Lepidoptera; Bombycidae. The record is from RNAcentral.
UGAUCAAUGUUUCCUCAGAUUUUGGAGC